AACCAGAAAACCAGCUCCACCACGUUCCCGGAGGUGCAGAAACGGUAUGUGGGCCGGCCGCCGGCCCACCGCGCGUUUUGGGGCCUUCCUGUUCGCGGUGUCCACUCUGUAUGCCUUCCGGUGCUCCUCACCGCCGUUCCGGCGCACGGACGCCGUCGGCCAUUGGGCAUGCCGCUGACCUCCAGCGGCACGCACUCCGCCUCCACCUCCACCAGCGGUGGAACCGCUUUUGGCUCACCUGGGUUUACCGGCGAUGCCGAACAGGGGAAGAAAAGCGCCUCCCCAUGCCGCGCGCGGUUCCGAUCUGCUGGUUGCAUUCUGUGUACCACUAUCAAUUUGGAGGGCUCUGACGUCUUGAGAAGAGCAAUUUGGGGGCUCUGAUCAGCGGCGUACCGCAUGAGGACCGGGACAAAGGGGGAUGGAUCGCCGCGGGCAAUGUGAUGGGGAAGGGGACAAAGAUCUGACCUGUAUCGAUGGGUACACUGCUCUCUGGAUAGGACUGUGCAGCCGUACGUGGCGAUCACGUGCAUCUUAGAGAAAAGCAUUUGUGAUCUGAAAUGAGCCGUCGUUUUCCACGUUGAUAUGCUCAUAUGGCCAUCUGCGCUGCCGCUGUUUUUUCUUUACAUUUACUAGAGCUCGUUCAUGAUGAUUGAUGAUUGGAUUCAUGGUAAGCUUGAAAUCGGUCAUGUGAACUGAGGUGACUUUGUAUUCGGUGGGAAAACAUAUAUACAAAAUGUCAACGGUCACUUUUGACAGUGUCUUGCUGACGUG
Long non-coding RNA from Triticum aestivum (bread wheat), 771 nucleotides. RefSeq lists it as uncharacterized. The transcript is spliced from 3 exons. The record is from RefSeq and is a predicted model, not a curated record. NCBI's taxonomy places the organism in Eukaryota, Viridiplantae, Streptophyta, Magnoliopsida, Poales, Poaceae.